UACGGGGGGAGCAAGCGUUGUUCGGAUUUACUGGGCGUAAAGGGCGCGUAGGCGGUCAGCACAAGUCAGUUGUGAAAUCUCCGGGCUUAACUCGGAAAGGUCAACUGAUACUGUGCGACUAGAGUGCAGAAGGGGCAACUGGAAUUCUCGGUGUAGCGGUGAAAUGCGUAGAUAUCGAGAGGAACACCUGCGGCGAAGGCGGGUUGCUGGGCUGACACUGACGCUGAUGCACGAAAGCCAGGGGAGCGAACGGG
This 254-nucleotide ribosomal RNA is filed under the name uncultured bacterium. RNAcentral's name for it is "partial 16S ribosomal RNA". It matches the Rfam family "Bacterial small subunit ribosomal RNA", at positions 524 to 776 of the family's 1533-position model. The record is from RNAcentral.